This is a long non-coding RNA of Canis lupus familiaris (dog), 3045 nucleotides long. RefSeq lists it as uncharacterized. NCBI's taxonomy places the organism in Eukaryota, Metazoa, Chordata, Mammalia, Carnivora, Canidae. The record is from RefSeq and is a predicted model, not a curated record. The transcript is spliced from 8 exons.
ACGGGGCAUGGCAACACCCCAGAGCCAGAAUCCAGAGCACCGCUGAGAAGGGCAGUAAACGCCUGGCGCAGAAUAAUAUUUGGGCAGGGUGUUCCUUGAACCAUGGGACCCUUGGAGUUUUCUAGGUUUUCCUCCUCCUGCAACCCUAUAAGCUACAGGUGAUAAAUAAUUUCUUCAGUCCUAGUGGCGCCUGGUGUCUCCGUGGAGCACCCUGGUUGGCCCCCAGACGAGGCCACCGUGAGGGCUGCAGUUGCAUCAUUGGAGCCCAGGAUGGAGGGGAGACUUGCGACAACUUUGGGGGACCCCAAAGCCUUUCUGCUUAGUUGGUGUUGCUUGUGUGGUGCCAUGGUCUGAAAGUGGGCUCACAGGAAGGACAGACUCAGUCUCCUAUAAAAUGGAUACUCGCAUUCUCCCCGGGAUCCUGCUGUGUGAAGAGCCCCACUACUGUAGGACCAGUUUCCCCAUCUGGAAAAUGGAUCACUCUGCCCAAUCCAUCUCACUCAAGAACCAUUUUUGAAGGUAAAAUCAACAGAAGAAUAAUGGAAAAUGAAGGCUCAAAGAGAUCAUAGAAGAUGACAAAAGUGACAGAGGUUGUAAACCAGCAGAAUGGGAAUCCUAAAGUCUGCUUUUCUUUGCAACCUCUAACCCAUCACUGAGGGCAGCCAGAUAGGCUCCCACACCCCACACAGAAGGCAUUUCUCCAGCCUUGCUCCUGGUCAGCCUGAGUGCACUCCCUGACACCUUCUACCUGGCCUGGGUUCCUAUUCUUAGUCUUCACCCCUUACCCACGUAGCUGACCCUUUUGAGAGGGUCCUCAGGAUAUGCCAGGAACUGCGGUCUGAGGAUAAAAGUGAACAAAGCCACAGUUCCACUCGCUAGGAGCUCAAUUUGAAGAUGAACUUCGCAACAUUUAACUCAGUGUCUUCACCUUAAAAUGAAGAGGGUCUCCUGAAAUUAGGCAAAUAGGCUGGAUUCCUAUUGCGGGGUUUCCGUGGCCUCACUUCGUGGGCAUGUGCUCGCGGGCAGCUGCACACUGCAGGAAUUCGGACUUUGAGGGUGAUGGGUAGGGAGAGGGGUCCUUAAUCACCAAGCAAAGGUGGGUCUGAAUCCAUUGCUUCCCCAAACCCAGGGGCUUCAGUGAUCACCUGUUGUUGCUCACACAUCCGCAGGUUGGGGGAGAUUUAGCUCAUCUAGUUGGGGGCUUGGUUGGGGUCCUCUGCCUCUGGCUGCGGAUGUUGAGUUUGUGUCGAGCUUGCUCUGCUACUCUUUAAUUCUGCAUGAGGUGGACUUAAGGUCUCUUAAGUUCUGGACAUCAAACUGGUACGGCCAAGGCAAGCCAUAUGGCUGAAUUCAAAGUUAGGGACGGUGUGCACACUAUCCGGAGGGUGGAAGUGAAGCCACGGUCAUGUCUCUGGCUGUUGCUCUCACUGGUGACCUGCUGACUUGCCCCACUGGUGUGCCCAGCAGCCACCCCGCAGCUCCUUCGCUUCCACCAGACUUCUCUCUUCAGCUGCUCUGAAGCAUGGGCCAGGCUCAUGGACAGCUCCACGGGGGUAGAGAAAUCCACCAGCAAUUCUGCAGAUCUGCCUGAAUGUUGGGGACUUGGAGGCAGUGAGACACCAUAUAGGAACUAGUGCGUCCUUGUGGGCUCCAGUUGGCCAUUGCUCUGCCUCGCUUUGCAUACAGCUUUCCUUUUCAAGGGCUGGAUCCGCUGGCCUGAAGCCUGGCACCAAAGGCAAGCAUGAUGCCCUUCAAAGGACUGCUUAACUCACUCCCAAGAUCCCAGAAGAUCUCAUCCCUAUAAUAAAUCCAGCAUAUCCCUCCUUAUGAUUCUGAUUCUCUGCUGGAACACUUCCUCCUGUAGCAAGGGAAGGAUAUGUGGCCCAUGAUGAGGCCAGGGCCAGGGAGGGUAAAGAAUUGGGGCCAGUAAUGUAUUCUCCCAGGAUCACUGUGUACUCCGUACAAAGACAGGAGCUUACAUGCAAACCCUUUCUGAAUAUUUUUGUAGGGGCAAAGGCAAGUGUCCUUCCAGUUAACUUUCAGAACACAGCAACUUUAAAAACCUGUGUGUCACAUUUUGCUUAACUACAGAUUUAACCCUGCUGCACUAUCCACUUUAAAUGAUCUGAGAGACUUCCAGACAAUGACCCCUCGGGAGAAGUUACCAAUACUUCAUUAGAAAGGGAUUUUUAAAAAAUAGGCUCUCUUUUCAAUCAAAGCUGAAGGUCAGAUCGCAUUCUAACAAACGCCUCUCCAACAAAAUUAUGUAAAAUAAUUAAAUUUCUAAGGUCUAAAUCCUGACCCACUUACUUGAAAGAAUAUUUGAUAGGUUAAUAGGGUAAAUAAUUAAACAACCCUGGUCUCUUUAGAGUUCUUUUUAACAGGAUUUGAUCUUUAGUAUAAAUAAUUUCUUCUCUCAUUUGCCUACCACCAUCCUGGAUUCCCCGUUUGUUGCUGGUCGAAGCUGUGGGCUUAAGUAACACUUUAAACUGGAGCAUUUGGUGGUAUUACUGUUCUGAGAAACACACCCACGUCUCUGCUGGCGAUAGCCUGACGGUCUUACACAUCUGUUUGGAGCUCCCUCAAGCAGUCGUGCUUGAUUUGAAUCCAGAUAUAGGAUUUGCUCUGAGGAAAGAGUGAGUGAGCAAGUCUGAAUCUGCGUGCAAGGAGCCAAUGAAGGAAUCACCCAGCCACUAAGGCAGCCCUCCGUAGAUGCCCUAAGGCUCUGAAGAUCAAGUCCUAGUGCCCAUGAGAACCUUCGGUGACUCCCUCUCCAUCCAGAACCACAGAGGAAAGUGAUGGAGAAAUGUAAACAACGAAGAUCGAACUUUAAAGAGUGUUGUUCUGAAACUGUUAACAUUGUGAAUAGUACAAAGACUUGAGGACACAUUCUUCCAGUAUUAUCUGAUUCAGCAAAGUCACUGGUCCUAUUGACAAAUGAGUGAAGUUCUGACCAAAUGUCUUCAUUGUCUUACUUGUUAACAUAAACAAAAGCAGCCAACAUCUGUCAGUUGCAGACCUAGGUUGGUUAUAGAUGCAAGAAUG